GCCAGGCGCAGUGGCAUACGCCUGUAAUGCCAGCGGCUUGGGAGGCAGAGACAGGAGAAUCCUGAGUUCAAAGUCAGCCUCAGCAAAAGCAAGGUGCUAAGCAACUCAGUGAGACCCUGUCUCUA
This 125-nucleotide small RNA is filed under the name Marmota monax (woodchuck). Lineage: Eukaryota; Metazoa; Chordata; Mammalia; Rodentia; Sciuridae. The record is from RNAcentral.